This is a long non-coding RNA of Marmota monax (woodchuck), 1223 nucleotides long. RefSeq lists it as uncharacterized. The transcript is spliced from 2 exons. The record is from RefSeq and is a predicted model, not a curated record. Lineage: Eukaryota; Metazoa; Chordata; Mammalia; Rodentia; Sciuridae.
CUCUCUCUCUCAUACACACACACACACACACACACACAUUUUGGGUUUAAAAUAUAUUGACUAUAAAGAGAAUGCCAGACAGAAACUCUUCGUGCCAAGUGUGUUAAGUAUCUCAUACACUUUGCCAAUUGAAGCCAUGUCAUUAGCAUGAGCCUAGGAAUCAGGGCACAGGGGGAAAGCAAGGGCCCCGCGGGAAGGAUGGGGGAGGGAAGUUCUCUGACGUGAUCACACUGAGCCUGUCCAGGGUUCUAACCAGGAAGAAGCUUCUUGAAGAAGUUGCUGCAGACAAAGGAAACACCAAGUGUGCAGUCUUUGAGCUCUCCAAGAUGGGAAAAUGGUCUGCUGAGAGCUAGAAGCAGUUUUCGGUCUCCCUGAAGGGGAAAUCUGAACAUCCUUGACCAGGCUGGUCCUUUGGUUUGGGGAAAACUUACCUCUGUGGUCCUUGGGGUAGGCAGAUGGCCUCAGAGAGGAGCCCUGUGACCUUCUCUCUGGUACUAUGCCUGCAGUGAUGUCAACUUACAUGGCAAAAGGGACUUUGCCGAUAUCAGUGAGGCUACUAAUCAGCUGAACGUAAAACAAAUCAUCCUGGAUUAUCCAGAUGUGCCCAAUAUAAUUGCACAAAUCCUAAAAACAGAAAAGAAAGGCAGAGAGAUUUUCAGUAUGAGUGUUUUAACAAAUUCUGGUGUACAGGGUACAAGAACCAGCCAUCAAAGACAGAAGGAAGGUGUCAACAGACUGAAGAAAGGCUGACAAAUCUAGGAUUGUACAAGGUGCCAUUUGUUAGGGACUUAGAGACAGAAGCACAUCUUGGGCCACAGCAAGGCAGGAAGAUCCGCAACCCCAAAGCAGGAGGAAAGGGUUCACAAAGGGUCUGAAAAGCUCGAUACCAAGAUGACCGUAAUCACAUCAACCUGGAUCCCUGUAGCGAGCAAAACACACCAUUGUUGGCUUUGAAGAUGGAGGGGCUACAAACCAAGGAUCACAGACAGCUUCUGGAAGUGGAGAACACCUCCGGCUGUCAGUCAGUGAGGGAGCAGGAACCUCCAUCCUACAACCACAGGGAGAACCAGAAGCAGGUUCUUCCCCGCGUCUCCCAAAAACCCAGACUGAUGACAUCUUCAUUCUGGCCUUGUGAGACCCUAAGCAAAGGACUCAGGAGCCCAGCUGGAACUUCUGACCAACAGAAUUGUGGGGUAAUAAACUGUAUUUUUUGAGCUGUUAAA